UCUCCUUCCCAAUCUGUUGAUCCAGAUCAGGAAAGCAACUUGGCAGCCCAGAAAACAAAGAGAAAGAAAGGAAAACAGCAAUGGAAGCCUCGGACGCAGGCUAAAACACAACACAGCCAGGACGACAAAACGAGAACCCACAGAAUGGAGUGGACCCUCCAGAAUCGCAACAGAGGAAUUUCAGUACUCUUUAUAGCCCGACACAAUCAAAUUGUCCUUCUCUUCCUUCCUUCCUUCCUUCCUUCCUUCCUUUCUUUCUUUCUUUCUUUCUUUCUUUCUUUCUUUCUUUCUCUUUCCUUCCUUUCUUCCUUUCUUGCUUUCAUUCUUUCUUCUUCUUUUUUUCUUUUUCUGAGACUGGGAUUCUCUGUGUAGCCCUAGCUGUCCUGGAACUUGCUUUAUAUAUCAGGCUCGCCUCAAACUCACAGAGAUCCACCCACCUGUCUCUACCUCACAAAUGCUGGGAUUAGGGCAUGCACCACCAUUGUUCAGCUAAACAGAAAUUUCUUAUAUAAACCCUUUUGGUAUUUGUAACUGUUAAAUAGCACCAACUAGACAGAAAAGUCUGAAGCCAAGGGUUCUCUUGAAAUGUGAUAUAAUAAGAAUGGCAAAAAUAAUAAAUGGGCAGUAAGAAAAGUUAUCAACAGCAUUGACUAAAACUUACCCUAGGCUCUCUCAGAAUGCUUCAUAAAUACUUGAUCAUUUAAUAUUGACAUUGAUUAUAAGGGGGAUAUAAUAGUCUUCUUGUUUUUAUUUGGGAAACUGAGUCCUAGGGAGUUUAUUAAACCUGGUGGAGCAAUACUCUGGUAACAUGAGAGAAUUAAAGGUAGAUUUAAUUAAUUAAUUGUAAAAGCUUUGUUUUCUGACUGCCAUCAUCAGAGACGUGAAUAGAUAAUGGUCCCCAAGUUUGUCUUGCUAAUAAACAGAACUCUAAUCUCUAUUUUAAAAAUAUUUUGUUUUUCGCAAAUUUUCUGGUCUUGGCAGUUAUUCAUAAUCUGAUUAUUCUUCUUUAUUGACAUCAAUUCUGUAAUAUAUUCAUUUUCAAGAUUUGGCCGAGGCUAGCAUGGCCCAAAGCUUCCUACAUUCCCAGCAUGGGAUGCUAUGAUUUGCCCUUAUCUUAACCAUCUCCAAGUUAAUUGUUGGAAAAUUCAGAGGAGGUAAAGGAGCUCACAAUCUCGACUUUAAAAAGUGAAGGCCCCGUUGGGCGGUAAUGGUACAUGCCUUUAAUUCCAGCACUUGGGAGGGAGAGGCAGGUGGAUCUCUGUGAGUUCGAGGCCAGCCUGGUCUACAAGAGCUAGUUCCAGGAUAGGCUCCAAAGCUACAGAGAAACCCUGUCUCGAAAACAAACAAACAAAAAGAACAAGUGAGGGCCCCUACAUCUAGCUACUUGUUUCUAGUUCUGUGUGUCACCUCUUUCUGGUACAGGACAUCAGUUCCAAGAUGAAGAUGGAAGAUUUCAUCUAAACAAAGAGACGUUGACAUCUUAUUGUGCCAACGUUACCCAGACCCAUGAGUCUUUGGUCCUGAAUGUCAGUGGCAUAUUCUUGUAUAGCAUCUGUCUACCUACCUAUCUAAUGUUGGAGUUACUGCAUUUCACUUAGAGAUCUGCUCAUGCUCUGUUGGCUUUGCAGUGAGCAUUUCUAUCUAUUAGGUGCCAUUCUGGGACAACAGUUUGUCCUUGGGAGGCAGUGCCAAAGUGAAAAUCCAGUGAGGCAGUGUCUUGGCCUGCCUCACUGAAAGAUAUUGAAUGAAGGCCAGGCGAACUGCAUCUCCAAAGAAUGGCGCUGUGUUUCGUAAUACUUGAGUUACUUCACACGGGGCCACAUCAGGAAUCCAUUGUGAAGCUCUUCUCGCUCAGCACAGCUUGCCUUCCUGGCAGGAUUUAACAACCUCAAUUAGGAAAAUCCCAAGAAUCAUAUUUAGGAGCCUCUGGGAAGGCAUUUCAUCUCCGGUUGUCGUUCAACGUGUUGAUCCACCAAUUAUCAGACUCACUGCAGACACUUCAAAUGUCCCACACAGGCUAAGGAGUGAAGACGGCUGAAAAGCCUUUUCCUUGCUCUGACAAGGAAACCAACCGAAGGAAGGAAAGAUUGGUUUUGGCUCACAGAGGUGCCAGCCCCCAAUGGUGGACGUGGCAUCACGAAGCAGUGAAGCUCACAUCACUAUGUCCUGGAAGUGGAGAGAAUCUUCUACAAGAUGGUGCUCUUGCAGGAAGGACCCCAGGGGAGCUUGUUAAGGUGUCUCAAUAGGACCAGCUCACAGGAGUUGUAAACCCACGAGAGAAUGAGCAUUGGAAUGAGUGCUGCCAACCUGAGACCACAGCUGCCUUCAACACCAAUCCAAACAGCACACAGAGAGACGGAGCUGAGGUGGAGAAGUAAGAGCUGGGAUUCUACAUUUUAGUCCAUUCUUUAACUAAUGUGGCCCUGAACAGCCCACACUCGGUGACGUUUUGAAUAUGAACAUCUCUGGCACAUGACGUGAUGAUCUAGCCCAACGGUUCAGUUCUCAGUACAAUGGUCCACAGUUCUGAUUGAUACCUGACUGAGAAAUUGGUUUGUUUAUACAACAAACAGCAAUAAAGUUCCAGAGGACAGCAAUAGCAGGGCAGAAAGUGGCUGCUGUUCUAAACACCAGGGACGACAGUGGAGAUGUUCGGCCUUCUCAAUGGGAGGCAUACUUUCUUUUUACAGAUGGUGACCAAGCAGCAUGAAAGGAAAUCACCACUGAACGCUCAUUUGGAAAUGUGUGGCCACCUUUCUGCCUGAUGCAGCUAAUGAAAAUUUCAUUAGAGGAAUAUUUUAUUUUAAGAAAAUUCAAGCUGUAGAAUACCGCGAAGGACUCUUGCCUGGCCCCCCUCUCCUGUGUUAGAAAUGAGCAAUCUGAGACCUAGGAUGAAGAUAUAAUUUAACUCAGCUCUCGGGAUGCAUAUGCGGGCAUACGAUUUGGGGAUCUUAUGACAUGCAUUUUUUUUUUUUUUGGUUUUUCGAGACAGGGUUUCUUUGUAGCUUUGGAGCCUGUCCUGGAACUAGCUCUUGUAGACCAAGCUGGCCUCGAACUCACAGAGAUCCGCCUGCCUCUGCCUCCCGAAUGCUGGGAUUAAAGGCGUGUGCCACCACCGCCCGGCUGACAUGCAUGUGUUUUACACACACUGUAGGAAUUAUUGGCAGAAUCACAAAUUCUUCAGAUAAAGAAAUUUUCGGUGCAGACCAGGUUGGCAUUACCUCCCUGCGUGGCUUUGAUCAAGUUAGAUGCCUGGCGCUGUGAUUUCAGGAGUCAGUUAUCCUCUUUGACGCUUGAGUUUCUGUGGUUUAAAGUGAGGGGGCACUGCAUAGCUCCGCUGUUUUGAGACACUUAAAACAAGGGAGAGUCGGAGGUGCAAGGCAAUAGUUUCCUCUCUAAUAAGCAGUCAGAACUAAACACCUCUGAAACGGAAGUCUCCGAGGAUCUCUCUCCACACACCUACACAGAAGAACACAGAGCUCCUGGCUAAGUCCUAGGGCGUGACAGGUGAGGACAGAUACCUACAGCUCCCUGGAUAUCAGUUUUCCAUCAGUUUCCUUUCCAAGGCCAGUGGCCAUAAACUUUUGAAGGGUUGAACCCUAUCAGCAGCCACAUCUCGCCUCGGCAGCAGAGCACAGCAGAUAAGGUCUCUUAAAUUUUGAAAGAAUGAGGCAGGAAGUCCUUUCAGAGCCAGAGGACACAGAACAGCUGUUCCCAGGCACAGGGGCGGUGUCACCCAAAGAGUCAGGGUCAGGAGUGCCUCGAAACUGCCUUCUUUAAAGCAAGAAGCAUCUGUUGGUGCCUGAGGAGCCUUCCCCAGGCAUCAAAGCCCAGGAAUAAAUCUGCCAGAUCUUAGGGAUGAUCACACCCUCUACUCACAUUCACCCAGGGCAGUUCUGAAGUCUGUGACCUGACAGUGGGAGAUUGGCUUGAAUUAUAUCCCCUCUUCUUGGUCUCAAGUUACUCAUCACCAACAUGCAAGUGUGAGCGAGGGGAGUUGAACAGGCUCUGCUGGGAGCUUUGCUUUUAGUGAAACUUUCUUAAAUCUAAAGUACCUCCUGAAAUACUAUUCUUCUGAUCUUUUGUUUCUUUUCUUUUCUUUUCUUUUUGGGUGUGUGGGGGGGGGUUCGAUGAACUUUAUUGAUGGUGUUUAAGAGAACAGCACUCCCUAAGCACCUUGCUUUCUUCUGGGGGUCUGAGAUGAAAACUGUGAGGGGAGAUGCCCAUUGUCAGAGGCUGAAUCAGAAGGGCCUUUUUCUUGCUUUCGUGUUCUUACUGGGGUGGGUGGCCCAGGGCUUCUUACUCCCCGGAGGUCAUGUAGGCCAUGAGGUUCACCACCCUGUUGCUCUAACCAUAAUCAUUGUCAUGCCAGGAAGUGAGCUUUACGAAGUGGUCACUGAGAGCAAUGCCAGCCCCAGCAUCAAAGGUGAAAGAGCGGGAGCCACUGUUUAAAGUCACAGGAGACAACCUUGUCUUCAGUGUAGCUCAAGAUGGUAGCUCACGAUGUUCUUUAGUGGAUCCUUGAAUGCCAGCUUCAGCACCUUCUUGAUGACACCCUACUUGGCAGCUUUCUCCCGGUUGUGACAUAUCAGAUCUAUGACCGACACAUUGGGGGUAGCAGCGUGGAAGGCCAUGCCCGUGAGCUUCCCUUUCAGCUCUGGGCUGACCUUGAUCACAGUCUCAGCAGCACCAGUGGCUAUGAGGAUGAUGUUCUGGGUAGCCCCAUGCCCAUCAUACCACAGCUUCCUAGAGGAGCAGUCCACAGUCUUCUGAGUGGCAGUGAUGGCAUGGACUAUUGUCAUGAGUUCUUCCACGAAGCUGUCAUGGAUGACCUUGGCCCAGAGGGUGGAUGGUGAGGGGUGGGAGAGGUGGAGGGGGGUGUAAGCAGUUGCUGCUACA
This is a long non-coding RNA of Alexandromys fortis (reed vole), 4899 nucleotides long. RefSeq lists it as uncharacterized. The record is from RefSeq and is a predicted model, not a curated record. Lineage: Eukaryota; Metazoa; Chordata; Mammalia; Rodentia; Cricetidae. The transcript has 4 exons.